CAGCAGCCGCGGGAAAACGGAGGGUGCAAGCGUUAAUCGGAAUUACUGGGCGUAAAGCGUGCGUAGGCGGUUCGUUAAGUCUGUUGUGAAAGCCCCGGGCUCAACCUGGGAAUGGCAAUGGAUACUGGCGAGCUAGAGUGUGUCAGAGGAUGGUGGAAUUCCCGGUGUAGCGGUGAAAUGCGUAGAGAUCGGGAGGAACAUCAGUGGCGAAGGCGGCCAUCUGGGACAACACUGACGCUGAGGCACGAAAGCGUGGGGAGCAAACAGGAUUAGAUACCCCCGUAGUCCCUGUCUCUUAUAC
This 301-nucleotide ribosomal RNA is filed under the name uncultured bacterium. RNAcentral's name for it is "partial 16S ribosomal RNA". It matches the Rfam family "Bacterial small subunit ribosomal RNA", at positions 509 to 807 of the family's 1533-position model. The record is from RNAcentral.